CCCUUAGAUGUUCUGGGCCGCACGCGCGCUACACUGAUGCAUUCAACGAGCCUAUCCUUGACCGACAGGUCCGGGUAAUCUUUGAAUCUGCAUCGUGACGGGGAUAGAUUAUUGCAAUUAUUAAUCUUCAACGAGGAAUGCCCAGUAAGCGCGAGUCAUAAGCUCGCGUUGAUUACGUCCCUGCCCUUUGUACACACCGCCCGUCGCUACUACCGAUUGAACGGUUUAGUGAGGGCCUCGGAUUGGUCUCGGCCCGCUCUUUACCGGGCGGCGCCGUUGGUCGAGAAGACGCUCGAACUUGAUCGUUUAGAGGAAGUAAAAGUCGUAACA
Molecule: ribosomal RNA, 330 nt
Filed under: uncultured eukaryote
Lineage: Eukaryota
Description: partial 18S ribosomal RNA
Rfam family: Eukaryotic small subunit ribosomal RNA
Source: RNAcentral